UACAGAGGGUGCAAGCGUUGUUCGGAAUUAUUGGGCGUAAAGCGCGUGUAGGCGGCUUUGCAAGUCGGGUGUGAAAGCCCUCAGCUUAACUGAGGAAGUGCGCCCGAAACUGCAGAGCUUGAGUACCGGAGAGGAUGGUGGAAUUCCCCAAGUAGAGGUGAAAUUCGUAGAUAUGGGGAGGAACACCGGCGGCGAAGGCGACCAUCUGGACGGAUACUGACGCUGAGACGCGAAAGCGUGGGUAGCAAACAGG
RNAcentral lists this ribosomal RNA (253 nucleotides) under uncultured bacterium. Its description in RNAcentral is "partial 16S ribosomal RNA". It matches the Rfam family "Bacterial small subunit ribosomal RNA", at positions 524 to 776 of the family's 1533-position model. The record is from RNAcentral.